GAGCCUCCUGCUACUUAUCAACAAUGAAUUCUGGAGAAGAAUGAGGUUGCAGAGAGCCAUGGGGAUUUCUAAGGGUGGUUGCCCGUCUCUGUAAGCCGAUGAUUUUCCACAAUGUAAACAACCCUUAUUAUAUGAAGCUCUAGAGUUUAUUGGGCAUAGAAAAACCAAUGCAUUCAUGGCAGGGUGACCUUGGAGGCAAGAGUGACAUGUCACUGGUGCAACUGGGUUGGCAGCCAUGGUGGUUGUCUUCUCUACUAUGCCUAUCUAAAUACACAUCUGAGCCUUAUUUUGAUAAUGAUAAAAUUGUGUAUGGGUUGACCAGAAAGCAGUGUUUCAACUCAGGAAGGAAACAAGGCUGCAUAGGGAUGGGAUGUUCUUGGGGUGGUUGCCCAUCUGUAUGCCAAUGAUUUCCCCAAUUUUCUUCAAAAUCAACAACCCUUUGGAAUCUACUACUGAAUUAUUAUUACAACGCACUAUUAUGCUAUGUUUAUCCCUGCAAUACUGAAUACUCUCUCACUUUCAUAUUACUGUAUCAUAUUUGCAAUCCACCCACUAUUUUUGUUGUUAUUGUUAUUAUUACACAACGUACAUUGCUUUUUGCUCAUUGAGAUACUCUUAAUGUCACUGUUAAUCUUGGUAGGCUAUGAUGGUGGUAAAACCUUUCUUAGAGUUUCAUGGGCAUGGAGAUAACAAAACCUGUAUCUUGGCAGGGUAAACAUGCACAAAAUUGAUGUUUGCAGCCAUGGCGGUGUUACUCUACUUUUGCCCAAUCAUGUAAAAGAUCUGAGCCUCCAUCCUUACUCUUCAUUAAUGUGUUGAACUAAUAUAUAUGUAAAUGUGUGUGUGUGAUAGUAUAUAGCACCAUUAAUACGGUGUGUCUGUGAUUUAACUGUAAGCAAACAUUGUUGUAUGUGCAAAGCCAAAGUUUUGGUUUUUUGAAUGUUUUUUGCAUAGGGACAAUUCAGUCAGACAUGUUGGAUAGCACUUUUGCAAGGGAAAAUUUGAUGGUUGUGAAUAAUACUUGUUGAUCUCUUUUAA
This is a long non-coding RNA of Ipomoea nil (Japanese morning glory), 1038 nucleotides long. RefSeq lists it as uncharacterized. Lineage: Eukaryota; Viridiplantae; Streptophyta; Magnoliopsida; Solanales; Convolvulaceae. The record is from RefSeq and is a predicted model, not a curated record. The transcript is spliced from 2 exons.